This 1008-nucleotide long non-coding RNA is filed under the name Apteryx haastii (Great spotted kiwi). RNAcentral's name for it is "lncRNA (ENSAHAG00000001338.1)". Lineage: Eukaryota; Metazoa; Chordata; Aves; Apterygiformes; Apterygidae. The record is from RNAcentral.
CCGGCCCGGGCCCGGUGGCGGCCGGCGGAGGAGGGGGCUCCUGAGCGGCGGCUGCCGGAGCCAACGGGCGGCGGGGAGGGGGGCGGGCGCUGCGGGGGUGUCGGGUUAGAGCGAGGCGUGACCCAGCUGACAGGCGCCGUGCGGAGCCGGGCGGGCGCGGAGCCGGGCAGCGGCGAGCAGCGCACGGUACCGGCGGUCGCGGGCGGCGCGGCGUCUCCCCGCCCCAUCUCCUGUGAGCCUGGGGAACCUGCAGCUCAAAGCCGCCGCCAGCCACAGCACCAUGUACCCCGGCAACAAGCGGAAAAAGCUCUGGCGGGAGGAGAAAGGUACUGCUGCCUCCCCCCGCGCCGCGCCGCCGGGGCAAAGUCCUCCCGCCGCCGCCCCGCGCCCCUCGCAGGCUGCUCUCCCGGUGGGACAGGCCGCCGCCGCUGCCCCCGCGCCCGCAGCUUCCCGCGCCGGCAGCGGGUCCCUCUCGCCUGGUGGCGGGGGGCUGCCACGAACGCCUGCGCCUCGCCCGGGCUCCUCGGUGCCCGCCCGCGCCCCAGCGGGGCGGCGGCGCCCGGGGCCUCCCGCCGGCUCCUGCCUCCUGCGCGCCCUUUUUCCCUCCCCUUCUCGUCCCCGGUGUGUUUUGCCCCCCCCCGCUGGGCUCUUCUCCGCUCCCUCGUAGCGGGGACAACUUGGAGCGUGGCUCUCGGGGCGGGGGGGCUGCCCCAUCCCCCCACGCCGGGGCGGCGUGCGGCCCCUGCCCCCGGCUCGCGCUGCCGGUCGGAGCGCCGCCGUGCUGCGCGAGCGCGUGGUAACGGGCGUAACGACUGCUCGCCCGCCGCGGCCGUUGGGGGAGGCGGGGCGGGGGCAGGUGCGGGCCGGCCUCGCUGGGGCGGCCCCUGUGGAAGAGGGGCACCGCGGGCCUGGGGGGGAGGUGCGUUUCCUAAACUCCCUUCUCAAACUCCACUAUUGCGAGACUUUCUUUCUUUCUUUCUUUCUUCUUCUUCUUUUUUUUUUUCCUGA